GACGAACGCUGGCGGCGUGCUUAACACAUGCAAGUCGAACGGAAAGGCGCCUUUGGGGGUACUCGAGUGGCGAACGCGGGCGUAACAGUAGAGUAAGCUUCCCUUGACUUCGGGAUAAGUUCAGCAAACGGGGGCUAAUACCAGAUAGGAAUCCUUGCUUCAUCGGGAGGGUUGGAAAGUUUCGGCGGUUUUGGCUGGACUUGCGGCCUAUCAGCUUGUUGGUGGGGUAGUGGGUUACGAAGGCUUUGACGGGUAGCCGGCCCGAGGAGGCGACCGGCCACCUUGGGACUGAGAUACGGCACAGAUUCGUACGGGAGGCAGAAGUGGGGAAUAUUGCACGAUAGACGCAAGCCUGAUGCAGCAAGGCCGCGUGCGGGAUGACGGCCUUCGGGUUGUAAACCGCUUUCAGCAGGGGCGAAGCUUGUGGUGACGGUACCUGCAGAAGAAGCACCGGCUAACUACGUG
This 465-nucleotide ribosomal RNA is filed under the name uncultured bacterium. RNAcentral describes it as "partial 16S ribosomal RNA". It matches the Rfam family "Bacterial small subunit ribosomal RNA", at positions 28 to 507 of the family's 1533-position model. The record is from RNAcentral.